ACGUUAGUUGCUAACAGGUGAAGCUGAGCACUCUAGACGAACUGCCGUUGACAAAACGGAGGAAGUGGGGAUGACGUCAAAUCAUCAUGCCCUUAUGUUCUGGGCUACACACGUGCUACAAUGGCCGGUACAGACGGAGGCGAAGCCGCGAGGCGGAGCAAAUCCGAAAAAGCCGGUCUCAGUUCGGAUUGCAGGCUGCAAUUCGCCUGCAUGAAGUCGGAAUCGCUAGUAAUCGCAGGUCAGCAUACUGCGGUGAAUACGUUCCCGGGCCUU
This 273-nucleotide ribosomal RNA is filed under the name uncultured Pelotomaculum sp. Its description in RNAcentral is "partial 16S ribosomal RNA". It matches the Rfam family "Bacterial small subunit ribosomal RNA", at positions 1107 to 1382 of the family's 1533-position model. The record is from RNAcentral. Lineage: Bacteria; Bacillati; Bacillota; Clostridia; Eubacteriales; Desulfotomaculaceae.